UGGGGAAUAUUGCACAAUGGGCGCAAGCCUGAUGCAGCGACGCCGCGUGGGGGAUGACGGCCUUCGGGUUGUAAACCUCUUUCAGCAGGGACGAAGCGAAAGUGACGGUACCUGCAGAAGAAGCACCGGCCAACUACGUGCCAGCAGCCGCGGUAAUACGUAGGGUGCGAGCGUUGUCCGGAAUUACUGGGCGUAAAGAGCUCGUAGGUGGUUUGUCGCGUUGUUCGUGAAAACCGGGGGCUUAACCCUCGGCGUGCGGGCGAUACGGGCAGACUAGAGUACUGCAGGGGAGACUGGAAUUCCUGGUGUAGCGGUGGAAUGCGCAGAUAUCAGGAGGAACACCGGUGGCGAAGGCGGGUCUCUGGGCAGUAACUGACGCUGAGGAGCGAAAGCGUGGGGAGCGAACAGGAUUAGAUACCCUGGUAGUCCACGCCGUAAAACGGUGGGUACUAGGUGUGGGGUUUCCUUCCUUGGGGAUCCGUGCCGUAGCUAACGCAUUAAGUACCCCGCCUGGGGGAGUACGGCCGCAAGGCUAAAACUCAAAUGAAUUGACGGGGUCAUAGCUG
This 566-nucleotide ribosomal RNA is filed under the name uncultured bacterium. RNAcentral's name for it is "partial 16S ribosomal RNA". It matches the Rfam family "Bacterial small subunit ribosomal RNA", at positions 355 to 932 of the family's 1533-position model. The record is from RNAcentral.